RNAcentral lists this ribosomal RNA (463 nucleotides) under Thracia distorta. RNAcentral describes it as "partial 12S ribosomal RNA". It matches the Rfam family "Bacterial small subunit ribosomal RNA", at positions 755 to 1425 of the family's 1533-position model. Lineage: Eukaryota; Metazoa; Mollusca; Bivalvia; Thraciidae. The record is from RNAcentral.
AUACAGGCCUUAGAGACCGGGGAUAGAUAUCCCGUUAUUCCUGAGCGUAAAUUUUUUCUGCCUGGGUACUACGAGCUUUGGCUUAAAACUCAAAGAACUUGGCGGUGCUCUAAAUCCUGUCAGAGGAGCUUGACGCUUAAUUCGAUGGUCCACGAACACCUUACCCCCUCUUGAAUCUUUUAACAGUUCGCAUACCGUCGUUGGCAGUUUUCACUGCGAGGGUACAGGAGAUUGCGGAAAUCAACCAGCAGAUAACCUGGUCUUGGUAACUUCAGAUAAACGUGUGGCCCAUGAGGGGGGGUUAGUUUGGCUACAAUUCUAAUAGAAAUACGGAUCGGCUGUUGAAACACGGCGGGGUUGAAGGCGGAUUUGACAGUAAGCUUCUCGAGUAAAAGGGGCUGAACGCGUAUACUGGGGUGCGUACAAACCGCCCGUCACUCCCGGCAAUAGAAGAAACUGGGAU